Long non-coding RNA from Contarinia nasturtii (swede midge), 540 nucleotides. RefSeq lists it as uncharacterized. The record is from RefSeq and is a predicted model, not a curated record. The transcript has 4 exons. Lineage: Eukaryota; Metazoa; Arthropoda; Insecta; Diptera; Cecidomyiidae.
GCGAUCAUUACUUACAGAUGCUGUGGGGAACAAAUCAAAGACUAUUCAAGUUUUUUCAAAAAAGUUGCUAAAUCGCCACCGAAAUAUCCUCAAACCGGUGUUUCAUUCUUAGACCCCAUUCUUGGAAAAGUAAAUGAGAUCAUUUCAAAUUUCAACCUCCAAUAUCCUGAUGACGUCUACGUUCUUCUUUAUGACUUUAUUGUAGAGAGACUUGAAGGAUUUGCAGAUACAAUAAAUGAAUUCUACAGAAAUAGAGAUAUUUCGGAAGCAGCAAAAGAUUUUAUACAGAGAGUUUGCAUCGAUAUUCACACGACAAUUUGCAAGUUGAAAGGUGCAAAUGGUCCACAUAAACCGAUUGUUUAUCGUCAAUUGGGCUAUGCUCAGCAAUAAAGGUCGAAUUUAUUGAGAAAUUGGGUUAUUGUUAUUAUCUUCUUCAUUUUUUUGAGAUGCAUAUCAAUUAUUAAUUAAAAGAUUUCUAUCAAGAUGUAUAUGACAAGUAAUAAUAAAAAAUGAUUUUAAUGUGACGAAUGUUUAUACAAA